Molecule: long non-coding RNA, 321 nt
Organism: Cucurbita pepo subsp. pepo (vegetable marrow)
Lineage: Eukaryota; Viridiplantae; Streptophyta; Magnoliopsida; Cucurbitales; Cucurbitaceae
Source: RefSeq, a predicted model, not a curated record
UAGUGAGAGAAACCGGUUAGAGAGAACCUAGAGAGAGGAGGAAGAAUGAACGGCCGGAAGACUCACCGAAACCUACCGUCGGAGUCUACUCCGGUCAAGAUCAUGAUGCAAGGAGCCUUUCUUGGAAGGGAAAAUAGAAUGUGGGUGGCCGGAGUCCCAUUUUCCAUCAAAGAAAUCAGAAAAACCCGCGAGGAACAACUCUCUACAGGAUCUUUGAAGAAGUUUGGCUGAAACCUCUAUCCGAAGGCAGAAACCCGAAAAUCGUCCAAGAAUGGUGAGCGAACUUCCAACACUCCUUACUCAUCCGGUAGUCAAGCAAAA